AAGGAAGAUUUUUCUUCCUGAUUUAGGAUUAGAAAUAGGUGGUGAUAUGAACCUAGCUGCUGGCAUUCAGGUGGCACAAUAGGCUCUUAAGCAUCGGCAAAAUAAGAAGCAGCAGCAAAGGAUUAUUGUCUUUGCUGGAAGUCCUGUCAAGCAUGAGAAGAAAGUAUUGGAGAUGAUUGGAAGAAAGUUA
Molecule: non-coding RNA, 190 nt
Organism: Arachis ipaensis
Lineage: Eukaryota; Viridiplantae; Streptophyta; Magnoliopsida; Fabales; Fabaceae
Source: RefSeq, a predicted model, not a curated record